This is a long non-coding RNA of Oryzias sinensis (Chinese medaka), 3953 nucleotides long. The record is from Ensembl. Lineage: Eukaryota; Metazoa; Chordata; Actinopteri; Beloniformes; Adrianichthyidae.
UUACGAGUGAGCAAGAAUGGGAGAGCAGUUCAGGGUCACAUCACUGAGACUCGGGAUGAAGAAGAUGCAGAUAUGGAGGAACGCCAUCAGGUUCUAAUUCCUUCAGCUAUACGUUGUAUAUGUUGUUUAUAACUACUACCGGUACACUGAUCUGUGAUUUAAAGGGAAGUAAUGCUAGCUCUAUGUCUAUGUUGAUGAGGCAGACAGGUGCAGCAAGUCCCAGGUACACGGGUGAGAAGUCCCCAAUAACUUCCUCCAGCCAGACGACAAUGGCACAGAUCUUAAGCAAGUCUCAGAAGAAAAUUCAAGAAAGUACCUUCACCACUUUGGACCCAUGCAACCUCAGUCCCAGGAUAGUGGAUGGUACUGAAGACAGCGAGGAUAAGGAGAGUUUUCAUACAUUUUCCUUCUCUACCAGCCGAGGUUGUCCUGUCAACACAUCGACUCGUGCAACUGCAGAUACGCUGCACAUCAGCACAGUAGAGUUAGCAGCUAAAGCAGAGGAGACCAGAGGACAGCUGCACAACCUGGACCAGCAGGUGGGGACCCUGCGGAAAGAAGUAGCCGACCUUGGACAGGUCAUGAAGAGAAUGGCCCAACUCAUGGAGACCCUAAUUCCAUCAGUGCAGCCGCCUACAAUACUGUGUCCUGCACAUUAUUCUCCGGCACACCACGUGUGCCUGCAGCCUGCCACACAGACUCGGUCUUGCCCUUCACCAUCCCCCUCUAAAACUGCCUCCAUUUGGACAGACGCACCAAUGCCACUAACUUCUCCAUCCCUCGCGGCCGCACAGCAGCAUAGUGUGAUGUGCCACACAGACUUUUUAAUACAUAGACCACAGAGCCUCCAAGCUGCAUGUCCCGCCAUGCCCAGCUCAGCUUCACCUUUAACUCCUGACUCUUAUCAGCUCCAGCCGGCCUCUGUCAUCUCAGAGCUUCCUAUGCCUUCAUCGUCCUGCAGUUUGCAUGAUAUCCCAUGCUGCGAGGUUCAGGCUCCUACCUCUAUAAUGUCAAGUGUGGACAGUUCAUCUCCGCAGGACGGAGGACAAAGGGGGCUUUAUCACAGUUCUGGAUCCUCUCCUCAAACUGGACUUGGAUUGGUUCAUCGCUGCCCAAACCAGGGUUUGUAGCAGACCUUUAAAAAAGUUUCCGAAGGACAUUUCCAAUCAAAUUUUUGGAAACACACUCAGCUCAGAACUUUAAUAUCACUGCAAGACAUGGCAGAGAUGCAAUGAACAUUUCUGGGGUUUUUUAAAGGCACGCUUUUCAAAAUGUAUUUGCAUGAAAGAGGGUUUAGGUGUUAGCUUUACCUUGUAGAGGCUUAGUUUUAAUAUAAGAAAAGAUUUGGGAGCAGUAUAUCAAGGCUCCUUCAGAGAAAGCACUCUGCCCUGAUGGAGAAUGAGACAGAAACUUUGAAAGAAAAAGUAGUUUUUGAGCACUCCUUCUUGCUUCCUUCCGACGCUCUUCUUCUCCUUCCUUUUACCCCUUCUUUCCUUGCUUAUCUAACCAGUGUCGGAUGCUCUGGACAGCGCGGAGCAGUGCACAACUUGUUAAAGUGGGUUCGCAAGUCAUUGUGAGGAGAGAAAUGGGGCGUACUGUGCUAUUUACUGCUGGACCUGCAGGGAGAAUGGGUAAAGGAUGGAGGAAGCUGCUGUGGAGGUGGCGGUGGGGCAUUUUAAGCCUUGGGCAUCGCAACCAUGCUGUCGUCUGUCAAGCUGAACACAGGGAUUCGUUUUCCCUCUCUGUCUCUGUUUUUUUGCAGUCGUUCUCCCCAUGCACCUCACAUUGGUUCUCCACUCUCUGUGCAUGCCUUUCGAGUAGUGCCUGUAGCCCCACAUUGACAUGCCGCAUGUCAGCCCGUGGAGAUUCAGCUUGCCAUUUACCUGUCUAUUUAAAGGAAACGUGGUUCAAUAUUUUAAUGGUUGAACUUGGCAUUUACAGAUGCCUACUUAUUGAAUGUGAGCUCCGUUUAAACAGUGCUACUAUUUUAGGCACACAGGAGUUUCCCCCCCUCUGAUGUAAAGUGGCCUGGAGCAAAUAUUACUGAUGCUAAAUUGGUCCACGUUGCAAGCUGUUACCCUGAUAAUCAUCCAGGGUUACGAUCUCCUGGAUCGAUUUUCUUAGCUGUUAAGAAUAAAGGCAAUAUUCCCACAUAAAAAGCACAAUAGGGAAAUAAAGACACUUUUAUAUUUCUAUGAAUGUAUCAAUACUAAAGAUGUAUUUUUAUUUUUUACCUCAAAGAAUGCAGUAGUGUGAUGUCGGCAAAAAUAUUGCAGCUGUAAAAGAAUUUAUGGCCGGCGUGUUAGGUGUUGGCAUUGAAUGCAGUCAAACCGUUUGUCCAGCAGAUCUACUCUUCUCUUUUGAAUUCCUGUAGAUUUGAGCCUUUUACUCUGCAAAUGGAAUGUACUGUAAUCAACCUUCUUUUCCCCUUUUUGAUAUUUAUUAGAUACAAAAAUUGAUAUGCUAAUAAACAAGAAAUAUGACUCUUCUGGUGGCUUCUUUAUUCAUCAUAGGUUGACAUAACCUUGUGUAUAUUUUUUUAUUUUUAUAUUAAAUCCACUUCUAAUAUUUCACACAUGUGCAAUGGAACUGGUUUCCUCAACAAAUUGGAGAAUAUUAUGACUAGAAAAAAACUAGAUUAGUUUCAGGAAGGGAGACAGAUAUGAACAAAUUUUGAAAAUUUGAUUUUUUUUUCUCGUUUUUGUCACAGGCUCAUUUUAUUUAAAAUUCUGUUUUUGCAAUUGAUGAAAAAAUCCUGAACGAAAAGACCCAAAAGGAUCAUUGCAUAAAGGUAAUAAUCCAGCCCUCGAGCAGCACUGAACACACUAUAUGAACUAUGAAACUGUUUUGUAAUCUGUUAACUAUUCAUUAUGUUAGGUUUAAUAGUCCACCAUCUGCUAUCUGACUGGGUCCUGUGUAGCAAUUAACCCUUGUGCUAUCCUAGGGGUCCAGAUGACCCCACCCUUACAUUGACGUGUUCUCCCUAACAUGACAAAGGUGGAUAAAGGUGGAAAGAUUUCAUGUAAUUCAUGGAUACCGGUGAAAAUCACAAAUCAUUGAAGAAAAAAGGUUCAGUGCACUGUCUAGUGGGUCUAGAUGACCCAACUCCCAAUGUUAACGUGCCUAGGAUAGCACAAGGGUUAAAGACCCAAUCCGAUGAAAUUUGUGUUUUGCGUGGUUUUAACAUGUUCUUGUGGCAUUUUUCUGAUGAAGGAGGACAUCCAGGAAGAAAAUUAAAGCUCAAAAUUGUAUUUCUGAGUGUUUCUCUAUUCCAGUCAUUCAAAUCAGGAGCAGAUGAAAAAAUGCAGUUUAAAAUAAGAUUGUAUUUGUUUUGUAGAAUACAUUUGGCAGACCUCAAGCUCCCUGCUCCACUCUAUUCUGAUCCAUCCACUAUUAGACCACUAGAUCCAUGUACUUCUUGGUUUUAACUGACAUCUGGCUCAAAUGGUAAAUGGCGUAUACUUAUAUGACCCGUUUCUACCUUCUUAGAAGGCCCAAAAUGCUUUACAGUCCCACUACCAUUCACCCAUGCACGCACACAUACAGUAUUCACACACUGUCAGGCGCCUUUGCAGCCUGACACUUAUUUUGCUCGCCAUUGUUGUUGCACCGGUAAUGUUAGAAUGGGGGUGUGAGGGCUGAAAGCUAGCAUGAAGUAGGGCUUGUAAACAGAUGGGUCACAGGAAGCGUGGUAGGGAUGUUUCUCACCAAAAGACCCGCCCACCACUCAAGGGGCAAAUUUUUAAUGAACUACUCUGCUGCUCUGCAGAAACUAUUUCCUCGAAAACAACACAGGUUUUUCUUUUAUUUUGGGUAAAAACUGCAUCAUAAUAAUUAAAAGACCAUUGGAAAUGCUUUAAAUAGAUCAAAACAUGAUCAAAGUGGGUCUUUAAAGGUAUUUAGAAAGAAAAAGACAACCAGGCUGAGGUUGCCUUGGCUCCGUUAGUAACAGG